This 266-nucleotide ribosomal RNA is filed under the name uncultured bacterium. Its description in RNAcentral is "partial 16S ribosomal RNA". It matches the Rfam family "Bacterial small subunit ribosomal RNA", at positions 793 to 1055 of the family's 1533-position model. The record is from RNAcentral.
GUCUUGGCUGUAAACGGUGCGUAUUUGCUGUAAACGGAAUCGACCCCGUUUGUGGCGUAGCUAACGCGAUAAAUACGCCGCCUGGGAAGUACGGUCGCAAGAUUAAAACUCAAAGAAAUUGACGGGGCCUGCACAAGCGGUGGAGUAUGUGGCUUAAUUCGAUGCAACGCGAAGAACCUUACCUGGCCUUGACAUGCAUGUGGUAGAACCAUGAAAGUGGGACGAUCCCGCAAGGGAAGCAUGCACAGGUGCUGCAUGGCUGUCGU